This is a non-coding RNA of Caenorhabditis elegans, 21 nucleotides long. Lineage: Eukaryota; Metazoa; Nematoda; Chromadorea; Rhabditida; Rhabditidae. The record is from Ensembl.
UAGAACACUGCCGUUUUUAAA